This 554-nucleotide ribosomal RNA is filed under the name Aureobasidium pullulans. Its description in RNAcentral is "eukaryotic LSU rRNA". It matches the Rfam family "Eukaryotic large subunit ribosomal RNA", at positions 98 to 667 of the family's 3401-position model. The record is from RNAcentral. Lineage: Eukaryota; Fungi; Ascomycota; Dothideomycetes; Dothideales; Saccotheciaceae.
GCGGCAACAGCUCAAAUUUGAAAGCUAGCCUUCGGGUUCGCAUUGUAAUUUGUAGAGGAUGAUUUGGGGAAGCCGCCUGUCUAAGUUCCUUGGAACAGGACGUCAUAGAGGGUGAGAAUCCCGUAUGUGACAGGAAAUGGCACCCUAUGUAAAUCUCCUUCGACGAGUCGAGUUGUUUGGGAAUGCAGCUCUAAAUGGGAGGUAAAUUUCUUCUAAAGCUAAAUAUUGGCGAGAGACCGAUAGCGCACAAGUAGAGUGAUCGAAAGAUGAAAAGCACUUUGGAAAGAGAGUUAAAAAGCACGUGAAAUUGUUGAAAGGGAAGCGCUUGCAAUCAGACUUGUUUAAACUGUUCGGCCGGUCUUCUGACCGGUUUACUCAGUUUGGACAGGCCAGCAUCAGUUUCGGCGGCCGGAUAAAGGCUCUGGGAAUGUGGCCUCCACUUCGGUGGAGGUGUUAUAGCCCAGGGUGUAAUACGGCCAGCCGGGACUGAGGUCCGCGCUUCGGCUAGGAUGCUGGCGUAAUGGUUGUAAGCGACCCGUCUUGAAACACGGACC